Small nucleolar RNA from Zingiber officinale, 110 nucleotides. The record is from RefSeq and is a predicted model, not a curated record. NCBI's taxonomy places the organism in Eukaryota, Viridiplantae, Streptophyta, Magnoliopsida, Zingiberales, Zingiberaceae.
AAACCAUGAUAAGGACACUGCCUUAAUAAAUUUUUGAAUCUCCCCCAUGCUUCAAAUAGAGAUUCUCCAUCUGUUUGAGCAAAACUUGUAAUGCACUUCCUCAUAAAUAU